UGCGCAGGCGGCUUAUUAAGUCAGUGGUGAAAUCUCUCGGCUCAACCGAGAAACUGCCAUUGAAACUGAUAAGCUUGAGUGUAGUUGUAGUAGGCGGAAUAUAGCAUGUAGCGGUGAAAUGCUUAGAUAUGCUAUAGAACACCGAUCGCGAAGGCAGCUUGCUAAACUAUUACUGACGCUCAUGCACGAAAGCGUGGGGAGCAAACAGGAUUAGAUACCCUGGUAGUCC
RNAcentral lists this ribosomal RNA (229 nucleotides) under uncultured bacterium. RNAcentral's name for it is "partial 16S ribosomal RNA". It matches the Rfam family "Bacterial small subunit ribosomal RNA", at positions 568 to 796 of the family's 1533-position model. The record is from RNAcentral.